GAUGAACGCUGGCGGCGUGCCUAAUACAUGCAAGUCGAGCGAACAGACGAGGAGCUUGCUCCUCUGACGUUAGCGGCGGACGGGUGAGUAACACGUGGAUAACCAACCUAUAAGACUGGGAUAACUUCGGGAAACCGGAGCUAAUACCGGAUCAUAUAUUGAACCGCAUGGUUCAAUAGUGAAAGACGGUUUUGCUGUCACUUAUAGAUGGAUCCGCGCCGCAUUAGCUAGUUGGUAAGGUAACGGCUUACCAAGGCAACGAUGCGUAGCCGACCUGAGAGGAUGAUCGGCCACACUGGAACUGAGACACGGUCCAGACUCCUACGGGAGGCAGCAGUAGGGAAUCUUCCGCAAUGGGCGAAAGCUUGACGGAGCAACGCCGCGUGAGUGAUGAAGGUCUUCGGAUCGUAAAACUCUGUUAUUAGGGAAGAACAAAUGUGUAAGUAACUAUGCACGUCUUGACGGUACCUAAUCAGAAAGCCACGGCUAACUACGUG
Molecule: ribosomal RNA, 497 nt
Filed under: uncultured bacterium
Lineage: Bacteria
Description: partial 16S ribosomal RNA
Rfam family: Bacterial small subunit ribosomal RNA
Source: RNAcentral